Molecule: ribosomal RNA, 469 nt
Filed under: uncultured Pseudomonadota bacterium
Lineage: Bacteria; Pseudomonadati; Pseudomonadota
Description: bacterial SSU rRNA
Rfam family: Bacterial small subunit ribosomal RNA
Source: RNAcentral
UGCCAGCAGCCGCGGUAAUACGUAGGGUGCAAGCGUUAAUCGGAAUUACUGGGCGUAAAGCGUGCGCAGGCGGUUAUACAAGACAGGCGUGAAAUCCCCGGGCUUAACCUGGGAAUGGCGUCUGUGACUGUAUGACUAGAGUGUGUCAGAGGGGGGUAGAAUUCCACGUGUAGCAGUGAAAUGCGUAGAUAUGUGGAGGAAUACCAAUGGCGAAGGCAGCCCCCUGGGAUAACACUGACGCUCAUGCACGAAAGCGUGGGGAGCAAACAGGAUUAGAUACCCUGGUAGUCCACGCCCUAAACGAUGCCGACUAGUUGUUGGGAAUUUACAUUCUCAGUAACGUAGCCAACGCGUGAAGUCGGCCGCCUGGGGAGUACGGUCGCAAGAUUAAAACUCAAAGGAAUUGACGGGGACCCGCACAAGCGGUGGAUGAUGUGGAUUAAUUCGAUGCAACGCGCAGAACCUUACC